UACGUAGGGGGCAAGCGUUGUCCGGAAUCAUUGGGCGUAAAGAGCGUGUAGGCGGUCCGGUCAGUCGGUUGUGAAAGUCAAGGGCUCAACCCUUGAAUGCCGGCCGAUACUGCCGGGCUAGAGUCCGGAAGAGGUGAGUGGAAUUCCUGGUGUAGCGGUGAAAUGCGCAGAUAUCAGGAGGAACACCGAUGGCGAAGGCGACUCACUGGCCCGAUACUGACGCUGAGGCGCGAAAGCGUGGGGAGCAAACAGG
RNAcentral lists this ribosomal RNA (253 nucleotides) under uncultured bacterium. Its description in RNAcentral is "partial 16S ribosomal RNA". It matches the Rfam family "Bacterial small subunit ribosomal RNA", at positions 524 to 776 of the family's 1533-position model. The record is from RNAcentral.